Molecule: unclassified non-coding RNA, 503 nt
Filed under: Bombus terrestris (buff-tailed bumblebee)
Lineage: Eukaryota; Metazoa; Arthropoda; Insecta; Hymenoptera; Apidae
Description: misc RNA ENSBTSG00005030784.1
Source: RNAcentral
UCCUUUCGAUCCGUUCCUCUGUUUCUCCGUUCCUCUUCUUUCUUCUCCGUUCUUCUCCGCUCUUCAGCGGCCUGGAUCUUUUUUUCUCUCUUCCCGUUAUACCUGGCCAAAGCCUCGGGCAGGUAACUAUUGUGCGCAACAAAGCUACACUUUUCUACCCAAUCCCAAGCCUAAUGGAUAAUUAAUUUUUGAUAAAUCGCUCGUUCGUGACUGGCGUCGACGAACGGACUAAUUUGUUUUUCGAUUUUUCACAAAAGCACACAAACUUUAGCCGGUCCUUUCGAUCGUCUUCCUUCGUCUUUCAUUCCUCCCGGUUGUGCUCUUUUUAUUUAGGACGACAACCUCGAGAUUCCAAGACCUUUUUCAAAUUCGUCGAGGUACCAGCCUGUCAGGAUGCAUUAGGAUAAUACGACGAACGACUGCCAUAAACUUGGGAACUCUGGUCGAACGGAAUUUCGAAGGAAAGAAGCUGUGCAGCUCUAAGGCAAUCUACUUCUGACCAC